Molecule: ribosomal RNA, 594 nt
Filed under: Rhacophorus nigropalmatus
Lineage: Eukaryota; Metazoa; Chordata; Amphibia; Anura; Rhacophoridae
Description: partial large subunit ribosomal RNA
Rfam family: Bacterial large subunit ribosomal RNA
Source: RNAcentral
UCGCCUGUUUAUCAAAAACAUCGCCUCUUGACAAACUAUAAGAGGUCCAGCCUGCCCAGUGAUAUUAUUCAACGGCCGCGGUAUCCUAACCGCGCGAAGGUAGCAUAAUCACUUGUUCUUUAAAUAGGGACUAGUAUCAAUGGCACCACGAGGGUUGCACUGUCUCCUCUCUCCAAUCAGUGAAACUGAUCUCCCCGUGAAGAAGCGGGGAUAAACCAAUAAGACGAGAAGACCCCAUGGAGCUUAAAAUCUAAUAGCAACUUUGCCACAUAAUCCACCAUAUUUUACAGAGCCAUGCUAGCAAAUUUUAGGUUGGGGCGACCGCGGAGUAAAAAUCACCCUCCAUGACGAAAAGAACUAAACCUUUAUCUAAGAACCACUAUUCUAAGAAUUAGCAUACUAACGACCAUGACCCGAUAAUCGAUCAACGGACCAAGUUACCCUGGGGAUAACAGCGCAAUCUACUUUGAGAGUCCAUAUCGACAAGUAGGCUUACGACCUCGAUGUUGGAUCAAGGUAUCCUAGUGGUGCAGCCGCUACUAAUGGUUCGUUUGUUCAACGAUUAAAACCUUACGUGAUCUGAGUUCAGACCGG